CAAAAAGCAUGAGUUUCAACCUGUUUCCCCGCAGCAAGGAAGAAAAGGAAGCACUGCUGCAGAAUCGUAAUAACAGUAGUAGUGCUCGUCCGGCACCGACGCCGCAAAACACGCAGCGUAAUUUGGGACCAGUUGGGUUGUCGACGGAAA
Molecule: small RNA, 150 nt
Filed under: uncultured Dinobryon
Lineage: Eukaryota; Chrysophyceae; Chromulinales
Description: partial Betaproteobacteria transfer-messenger RNA
Source: RNAcentral